UACGAAGGUCCCGAGCGUUGUUCGGAAUCACUGGGCGUAAAGGGAGCGUAGGCGGCGUGGUAAGUCAGGUGUGAAAUCCCGGGGCUCAACCCCGGAACUGCAUCCGAUACUGCCGUGCUUGAGGGUUGGAGAGGUAGCUGGAAUUCUCGGUGUAGCAGUGAAAUGCGUGGAUAUCGAGAGGAACACUCGUGGCGAAGGCGAGCUACUGGACAACAUCUGACGCUGAGGCUCGAAGGCCAGGGGAGCAAAAGGG
RNAcentral lists this ribosomal RNA (253 nucleotides) under uncultured bacterium. RNAcentral describes it as "partial 16S ribosomal RNA". It matches the Rfam family "Bacterial small subunit ribosomal RNA", at positions 524 to 776 of the family's 1533-position model. The record is from RNAcentral.